This 334-nucleotide unclassified non-coding RNA is filed under the name soil metagenome. RNAcentral's name for it is "partial contains 5.8S ribosomal RNA, internal transcribed spacer 2, and large subunit ribosomal RNA". The stretch from base 1 to 120 matches the Rfam family "5.8S ribosomal RNA", at positions 35 to 154 of the family's 154-position model. The record is from RNAcentral.
GAUGAAGAACGCAGCGAAAUGCGAUAAGUAAUGUGAAUUGCAGAAUUCAGUGAAUCAUCGAAUCUUUGAACGCACAUUGCGCCCCCCAGUAUUCUGGCGGGCAUGCCUGUUCGAGCGUCAUUUCAACCAUCAAGCCCUGCUUGUGUUGGGGUCCUGCGGCUGCCCGCAGGCCCUGAAAACCAGUGGCGGGCUCGCUAGUCACACCGAGCGCAGUAGCACAUCUCGCUCAGGGCGUGCGGCGGGCUCCAGACGUUAAAGCACCCACCUUUCGCAAGGUUGACCUCGGAUCAGGUAGGAAUACCCGCUGAACUUAAGCAUAUCAAUAAGCGGAGGA